UAGAAACAGAAAUUUACAUGCGUCCAUAUUUUCAAAUCUAUAUUUAGAAAGCUGCUACGCCACACUCCUUCUGUUCUGCUGGAAAUCAACUGGACCUGGGUGCUAAAUUAUUAAGAUUUUUCUUUUAGUGAGUUCCCCUUUAUCUUUCCAGUUAUCCUGAUGGCUUCUGAGGUUUAUUAACCUCCCUUCAUGCAUGGGCUUGACCAGGACACUGGAGCAUAUAACAGCCCCAUGGCAACUAAGUAACUAUCUUCCAUGCUUUGUCUUUGAUUGCAGCCAUGGAGACUGUCAUGUCCCCAUAUGAAAUCUUUCGCGUUUCCAACUCCAGCACCACACCAGGAAGUGGUGUCUAGAUGCCCAAGAUGCCCUUGUGCUGUGUGUUCUACAGACCCUCUCGGCACCAAAAAAGUCAAAGAAGGAAAGAAGAAAUUGUGGGACAGAUUACCCAAGAUCAUACAGCGAGUUCAUGGACUACAACCCAGGAAAGGAGUGAGUCGGUGGCUUCCCUAUGAGCUGUUAAUCCAAGGUAGGUCACAGUCGCAGUUCCAACCAUCCAGACUCGAUCAGCCUGAAGUCCUUUGCGGAUGGAGAUCUGGUUUCCCUGCUCCCAACAGUGCUGCUAAACAAGACUAGGGCUGGAUUUUCAAAACGGCCUAAGUGUUUUCUGAAUUUAUGCACCUGAUGAAGCCCGUUGAGGUUCACCUUUUCAGUGUGCUGGUUUAGGUGAAAACAACAGAGGAAACGGUGUUAAUCACUAACUCACUCUGAGUCAGUUCACUGGUGGUAAGCAGCUGAUUGAGAGGAAGGAUGGCUUUGUGGGAGGGGGCUAGCCUGGGUCUCAGGAGUUCCAGGUUCAACCAACCCUGGCUCUACCACAGGCUUCCUCUGUGACUGUGGGCAAGUCACUUAGGGUGGGAUCCACACAGAGACUUAGGCACUGUGUCACUCAGCAUGGUAUCAUCUAAAAAAUCCCAGGAACAGCGCUACGAUCCACAAAGCCUGAGUUAGGCAACUUGGCUCCCUAUACAAUGAAGGGGAGAGAGAGGUGCCUAAGAAUGGGAUCAACAAAAACCAGCAGGCUACACGGGGAGAUCCCUAAUCUAGCCAAUGGAAAUGCUGACCAGAGGGGUAUGUGCUAAGCCCUGCCCUCUCCCAGAGAGAGGCAUAUAAGUGCAGGAUGCAGAAGGUGCUUAGCUCUGCAAAGCCACCCGUGAACAGGGACCCACCGCCUGGAAUCACUCCUUGAGGGAAUGAGUUAAGUGCCUACCUCACUCCAAUCAAAAUGGGAAGAGGCCCUGCCCACCUUAUAACUUCUAGCACAGUGGUUAGUGCAUUGGCCUGGGAUGUGGGAGGCCCAGGUUCAAUUCCUCCUCUGCCAGAGGCUCUCAAACCUCUCAAGGGCAUGCUCCAGCCACUGGGCUAUGGGGUAUUCUGAUGUAGGGCUUCCUCACUCUCUCCUGUUGAAGCUGUUUCACUGAGGAUAAACACAGCCAUUGGGCCGGAGAGGGGAGAUGACUCUGUAAUCCAGUGGUUAAGGCUCCCAUGUGGGAGAGGUAUGACCCUGAUCUUGUCCCCCUGCUCCAACCUAAGAACAUAAGAAUGACCAUACUGGAUCAGACGAGUAGUCCAUCCA
Molecule: long non-coding RNA, 1633 nt
Filed under: Chrysemys picta bellii (western painted turtle)
Lineage: Eukaryota; Metazoa; Chordata; Testudines; Emydidae
Description: lncRNA (ENSCPBG00000006477.1)
Source: RNAcentral